This 473-nucleotide long non-coding RNA is filed under the name Homo sapiens (human). Its description in RNAcentral is "HSALNT0362823". Lineage: Eukaryota; Metazoa; Chordata; Mammalia; Primates; Hominidae. The record is from RNAcentral.
AUUGCCAUUCUGAGCAAGUGCAGCAGGCAGUGUGCCUACAGCUCUGCAAAGAAACUUCAGGACUUAUGGAGCAAGGAUGACUGACACAAACACAAAAAUCAUUCUGCCUGUUGAAUGAAUCAUAAAAUACUGUCUUUGAUCCAGGAGGCUUGUGUCAUCUGCCAGCAUUUAUGAAACUGUGCUCCAAGUAGGAUGGGGUCUCUAUCUGGCCAGCGCCAUGUUGCCUGAACACUUGAAGACAAAGAAAAGGGAAGAAGAGGCAGGGCGCCGUAGCUCACGCCUGUAAUCACCGCACUUUCUGAGGGCGAGGAGGGUGGAUCACGAGGUCAGGAGUUCAAGACCAGCUUGGCCAAGAUGGUGAAACCUCGUCUCCACUAAAAAAAAUACAAAAAAAAAAAAAUUUAGCCGGGCCUGUUGGUGGGCUCCUGAAAUCCCAGCCACUCAGGAGGCUGAGGUAGAGAGCUGCUUGAACC